UACGGAGGGUGCAAGCGUUGUCCGGAUUUAUUGGGUUUAAAGGGUGCGUAGGCGGCCCGGUAAGUCAGCGGUGAAAUCCCAGGGCUCAACCCUGGAACUGCCGUUGAUACUGCCGGGCUUGAGUUUGGUCGAGGCGGGCGGAACUGGUGGUGUAGCGGUGAAAUGCAUAGAUACCACCAAGAACCCCGAUUGCGUAGGCAGCUCGCUGGGCCAAAACUGACGCUGAGGCACGAAAGCGUGGGGAGCGAACAGG
RNAcentral lists this ribosomal RNA (253 nucleotides) under uncultured bacterium. RNAcentral describes it as "partial 16S ribosomal RNA". It matches the Rfam family "Bacterial small subunit ribosomal RNA", at positions 524 to 776 of the family's 1533-position model. The record is from RNAcentral.